This 2167-nucleotide ribosomal RNA is filed under the name Opalina obtrigonoidea. RNAcentral describes it as "SSU rRNA". It matches the Rfam family "Eukaryotic small subunit ribosomal RNA". The record is from RNAcentral. Lineage: Eukaryota; Bigyra; Opalinata; Opalinidae.
AACCUGGUUGAUCCUGCCAGUAAUCAUACGCUCGUCUCAAAGAUUAAGCCAUGCAAGUGUAAGUAUAAGCUUUUAUAUAGUGAAACUGCGAAUGGCUCAUUAUAUCAGUUAUAAUUUAUUUGAUAAAUAAUAUUUUUAAUUAUUACAUGGAUAACUGUAGUAAUUCUAGAGCUAAUACAUGCCUUAAAUUUAUAUUAUUAAUUUAUUAAUAAUAUAUAGUAUUUAUUAGAUUAUAAUCAACUAAUAUAUAUUAUGCAAAUAAUAUAUAUUAUUUAUGAUGAUUCAUAAUAAAUAUAUUUUCUUUAAAAAUUUUAUUAUUUACUAAUCGCAAUAAAUAAUUUGCGAUAUAUCAUUUAAGUUUCUGCCCUAUCAGCUUUAGAUGGUAGUGUAUUGGACUACCAUGGCAAUAACGGGUAACGAAGAAUUUGGGUUCGAUUUCGGAGAGGGAGCCUGAGAAAUGGCUACCACAUCCAAGGAAGGCAGCAGGCGCGUAAAUUACCCAAUCCUAAAAUAGGGAGGUAGUGACAAGAAAUAACAAUGUUAAACUAUUACAUAGUUUAACAAUUGUAAUGAAUAAAAUAUAAAUAAAAUAAUAAAUACAAUUGGAGGGCAAGUCUGAUGCCAGCAGCCGCGGUAACUUCAGCUCCAAUAGCGUAUAUUAACAUUGUUGCAUUUAAAAAGCUCGUAGUUGAAUUUAUUUUUAUAAAUUUUAUAUAAAUAAUAUUAUUUUAUAAUAAAAUUAUUAAAAUUUAUUUUAUAUAAUUUUAUUAUAUAUUAAAUGGUAAUAUUAUUUAUAAUUUAUAAAAAAAUUUUAUAUUAUAUUAUUUUAUAAUAUAAUAUAAAUAUUACUGUGAAAAAAUUAGAGUGUUUAAAGCAUGUAUAUAAAAUUAAAAAAUAUAUUUUUUUAAAUAUAUUUUUUUAGCUUGAAUAUAUUAGCAUGGAAUAAUAAUAUUAUAAUAUUUUUAUAUUAUUUUGUUGGUUAAAUAUAAAAAUAUAUGAUUAAUAGGGACAAUUGGGGGUAUUUAUAUUUCAUAGUCAGAGGUGAAAUUCUGGGAUUUAUGAAAGAUAAACAAAUGCGAAAGCAUUUACCAAAAAUGUUUUCAUUAAUCAAGAACGAAAGUUAGGGGAUCAAAGAGGCUUAGAUACCCUCGUAGUCUUAACUAUAAACUAUAACACCUAAAUAUUGGUAUAAUAAUUUAAAAUGUAUUAAUUAUAAUUAAUUUAUUAAUUAUAUAUUAAUGCAUUAAUAAUUUAUAUCAGCGUUUAUAAUGGGAAACCAAAGGCUUUGGUUUAUGGGGGGAGUACGGUCGCAAGGCUGAAACUUAAAGGAAUUGACGGAAGGGCACACCAGAUAUGGGUUAUGCGGCUUAAUUUGACUCAACACGGGGAAACUUACCAGGUCCAGACACAGUUAGGAUUGACAGAUUAAUGAUCUUUCUUGAUUCUGUGGGUGGUGGUGCAUGGCCGUUCUUAGUUGGUGGAGUGAUUUGUCUGGUUAAUUCCGAUAACGAACGAGACCUUCGCUUAUUAAAUAAUUUAAUUAUAUUUUUAUAAUUAUAUUAUAUUUAUUAUAUAUAUGUAUUAAUUUAUAUAUAUUUAAUAAAUAUUUAUAAUUAUUACUAAUAAAAUAUAAUUUUAUUUAUUAUAUUAUAGUAAUAUAAUAUGAUAAAUAUUUAAUAAAUUACUUAAAAGGACACUGAAAAUUUAUAUUUCAGGGAAGUUGAAGGCAAUAACAGGUCUGUGAUGCCCUUAGAUGUUCUGGGCCGCACGUGUGACACAAUGGUACAUUCAAUAAGUAUUAUUAAAAAUAAUAUAUUUUAAUAUUUAUAUUAAAGUAUAUUUUAAUCUGAAUCGAAAGGUUUGGAUAAUCUCGAAAAUGUGCCUAAUCUGGGAUUGAUUAUUGUAAUUAUUGAUCAUGAACGAGGAACACCUAGUAAGUGCAAGUCAUCAGCUUGCGCUGAAUACGUCCCUGCCCUUUGUACACACCGCCCGUCGCACCUACCGAUUGGAUGAUCCGAUGAAAAUAAUAGAAAUAAUAAAUUAUUAGUUUAUAUUUACUAAUCAUAAAUAUAAAUUAUUAUUUAGUGUUAAAGUUAUUUAAAUCUUAUUAUCUAGAGGAAGGUGAAGUCGUAACAAGGUUUCCGUAGGUGAACCUGCGGAAGGAUCA